Molecule: long non-coding RNA, 597 nt
Filed under: Olea europaea subsp. europaea
Lineage: Eukaryota; Viridiplantae; Streptophyta; Magnoliopsida; Lamiales; Oleaceae
Source: RNAcentral
GGUACUUAACCAAAAUGGAAAGUUCUCAUUGCAUAGUGCUGAGAUUUAAUCAAGAAAAAAAGGAGUAUCCUUCUUCAUCUAUAUAUCUGGCACAAAUCUAUCCCUCUCAAAUAUCAUUCUUCAUUUGGAUGGGUUGGCAUCAGCAGCUCCAUGUGGAUGAAAUAAUCAAGCAAAAAUGUGCAUAAAUAAUCAUGCAGUAUUAAAUGUAAAAAACCAAAAGCAGAUAAGGUAUCAGCUUAUUGGAGUAAAAUCUUUCAUCUAAACCCUCCAACUUUGCUCCCACUUCUGGAGAUUUGCUGACUGUUUGAACAAAACUGGAUAUAUUCAUACCAUUAUACCUCUAUUAAUUAUUUUGGUUUCUAUGGCUUGAAAGAAAUAUCUCCUAGCAUUCUGGUAUUAAAAAUGCAAGCUUCAAGGGUGAUUAAAAGAGUUAAACAUUUAUUGAACUUAAUGAAUAAUGAGCACGGCAGGACUAAUUACGAAAGAUUGUUCCCUUGCAAAGUCCGGGUAAAUGUUAAAAACUCCUAACCAGUAAUGCACUACAGAUAAGUAGUGGAAACCACAAAUGGGAUUGUUAGACUCGGGCACAGAUGGAUG